RNAcentral lists this small nuclear RNA (18 nucleotides) under Arabidopsis thaliana (thale cress). Its description in RNAcentral is "snRNA_19007". Lineage: Eukaryota; Viridiplantae; Streptophyta; Magnoliopsida; Brassicales; Brassicaceae. The record is from RNAcentral.
UUUGAUCCUUCGAUGUCG